AACUGAACACUUCGCUCCAUUGCUUUACUGUUAAGUCAUGUUGUCUGAAGCGCUCAUUGUCCGGAUUUACUGCUAAGCUCAGUAGGUUGGGCACAAAUUGCGUGUUUAAUUUUUUAUUUUAUUCAGGAGACAUCAUGUCCAAAGCAACUGGUACCGUGAAGUGGUUCAACGAAGACAAAGGCUUCGGCUUCAUCACUCAAGACAACGGCGGCGCUGACGUAUUCGUACACUUCCGUGCCAUUCAGGGUGACGGUUUCAAAACUCUGGCUGAAGGUCAGCAGGUAUCUUUCGAUAUCGAGCAAGGCCCGAAAGGCCCGCAAGCGGCUAACGUAACCAAGAUCUAAUUGGUUAUUACCCGCGAAGAAAAAGGCGCCAAUCGGCGCCUUUUUUGUU
This 393-nucleotide non-coding RNA is filed under the name Ferrimonas balearica DSM 9799. RNAcentral's name for it is "cspA thermoregulator". It matches the Rfam family "cspA thermoregulator", at positions 103 to 428 of the family's 428-position model. The record is from Rfam by way of RNAcentral. Lineage: Bacteria; Pseudomonadati; Pseudomonadota; Gammaproteobacteria; Alteromonadales; Ferrimonadaceae.